GGGCCCGCACAAGCAGUGGAGUAUGUGGUUUAAUUCGAAGCAACGCGAAGAACCUUACCAGGGCUUGACAUCCCGCGAAUACCGUGGAGACACGGGAAGCCUUUCGGGGCGCGGAGACAGGUGGUGCAUGGUUGUCGUCAGCUCGUGUCGUGAGAUGUUGGGUUAAGUCCCGCAACGAGCGCAACCCCUGUCGUCAGUUGCCAUCAUUCAGUUGGGGACUCUGACGAUACUGCCGGUGACAAAUCGGAGGAAGGUGGGGAUGAGGUCAAAUCAUCAUGCCCCUUAUGUCCUGGGCUACACACGUACUACAAUGGCUAUCAACAGAGGGAGCUAAGGAGCGAUCCGGAGCGAAUCCCGAAACAUAGCCUCAGUUCGGAUUGUGGGCUGAAACCCGCCGCAUGAAGUCGGAAUUGCUAGUAAUGGCAGGUCAGCAUACUG
This 438-nucleotide ribosomal RNA is filed under the name uncultured Bacillota bacterium. RNAcentral describes it as "bacterial SSU rRNA". It matches the Rfam family "Bacterial small subunit ribosomal RNA", at positions 917 to 1359 of the family's 1533-position model. The record is from RNAcentral. Lineage: Bacteria; Bacillati; Bacillota.